RNAcentral lists this ribosomal RNA (250 nucleotides) under uncultured bacterium. RNAcentral's name for it is "partial 16S ribosomal RNA". It matches the Rfam family "Bacterial small subunit ribosomal RNA", at positions 524 to 773 of the family's 1533-position model. The record is from RNAcentral.
UACAGAGGGUGCAAGCGUUAAUCGAAAUAACUGGGCGUAAAGGGCGCGUAGGUUGUGUGACAAGUGGAGUGUGAAAGCCCCGAGCUUACCUUGGGGAGGCCAUUCCAAACGGUCAGACUAGAGAGCAAGAGAGGUAAGAGGAAUUUCCGGUGUAGCGGUGAAAUGCGUAGAGAUCGGAAAGAACACCAGAGGCGAAGGCGUCUUACUGGCUUGCAUCUGACACUGAGGCGCGAAGGCGUGGGUAGCAAAC